RNAcentral lists this ribosomal RNA (130 nucleotides) under Craterellus strigosus. Its description in RNAcentral is "5.8S ribosomal RNA". It matches the Rfam family "5.8S ribosomal RNA", at positions 1 to 104 of the family's 154-position model. From Rfam's summary of the family: 5.8S ribosomal RNA (5.8S rRNA) is a component of the large subunit of the eukaryotic ribosome. It is transcribed by RNA polymerase I as part of the 45S precursor that also contains 18S and 28S rRNA. Functionally, it is thought that 5.8S rRNA may be involved in ribosome translocation. The record is from RNAcentral. Lineage: Eukaryota; Fungi; Basidiomycota; Agaricomycetes; Cantharellales; Hydnaceae.
CAACUUUCAGCAAUGGAUCUCUUGGUUCUCGCAUCGAUGAAGAACGCRGUGAAAUGCGAUAACUGGUGUGAAUUGCAUCCAAGUAACUCUAAUUUACGAAUAACACCAAGUGAAUCAUCGAGUCUUUGAA